UACGUAGGGUGCGAGCGUUAAUCGGAAUUACUGGGCGUAAAGCGUGCGCAGGCGGUCUGUUAAGACCGAUGUGAAAUCCCCGGGCUUAACCUGGGAAUGGCAUUUGGGACUGCAAGGCUCGAGUGCGGCAGAGGAGACUGGAAUUCCUGGUGUAGCAGUGAAAUGCGUAGAUAUCAGGAGGAACACCGAUGGCGAAGGCAGGUCUCUGGGCUGACACUGACGCUCAUGCACGAAAGCGUGGGGAGCAAACAGG
This 253-nucleotide ribosomal RNA is filed under the name uncultured bacterium. RNAcentral describes it as "partial 16S ribosomal RNA". It matches the Rfam family "Bacterial small subunit ribosomal RNA", at positions 524 to 776 of the family's 1533-position model. The record is from RNAcentral.